GCCCGUUAAUGGGUGAGAGCGUGCCUUUUGUAGAAUGAACCGGCGAGUUACGUUAUGAUGCGAGGUUAAGUUGAAGAGACGGAGCCGUAGGGAAACCGAGUCUGAACAGGGCGAAUUAGUAUCAUGACGUAGACCCGAAACCAUGUGACCUACCCAUGAGCAGGUUGAAGGUGCGGUAAGACGCACUGGAGGACCGAACCAGGGCACGUUGAAAAGUGCUUGGAUGACUUGUGGGUAGCGGAGAAAUUCCAAACGAACUUGGAGAUAGCUGGUUCUCUCCGAAAUAGCUUUAGGGCUAGCGUCGACAUUAGAGAUUCUUGGAGGUAGAGCACUGUUUGGGUGAGGGGUCCAUCCCGGAUUACCAAUCUCAGAUAAACUCCGAAUGCCAAUGAAUUAUGGUCGGCAGUCAGACUGCGAGUGCUAAGAUCCGUAGUCGAAAGGGAAACAGCCCAGACCACCAGCUAAGGUCCCAAAAUAAUUGUUAAGUGGAAAAGGAUGUGGGGUUGCACAGACAACUAGGAUGUUAGCUUAGAAGCAGCUAUUCAUUCAAAGAGUGCGUAAUAGCUCACUAGUCGAGUGACCCUGCGCCGAAAAUGUACCGGGGCUAAAACAAUUUACCGAAGCUGUGGAUACCUUUAUAGGUAUGGUAGGAGAGCGUUCUAUGUGUGAUGAAGGUAUACCGUGAGGAGUGCUGGAACGCAUAGAAGUGAGAAUGCCGGUAUGAGUAGCGAAAGACAGGUGAGAAUCCUGUCCACCGUAAGACUAAGGUUUCCAGGGGAAGGCUCGUCCGCCCUGGGUUAGUCGGGACCUAAGGAGAGACCGAAAGGUGUAUCCGAUGGACAACAGGUUGAUAUUCCUGUACUAGAGUAUGUAGUGAUGGAGGGACGCAGUAGGCUAACUAAAGCAGACGAUUGGAAGAGUCUGUCUAAGCAGUGAGGUGUGAAUUGAGUCAAAUGCUUAAUUCUAUAACAUUGAGCUGUGAUGGGGAGCGAAGUUUAGUAGCGAAGUUAGUGACGUCACACUGCCAAGAAAAGCUUCUAGCGUUUAAACAUACUCUACCCGUACCGCAAACCGACACAGGUAGUCGAGGCGAGUAGCCUCAGGUGAGCGAGAGAACUCUCGUUAAGGAACUCGGCAAAAUGACCCCGUAACUUCGGGAGAAGGGGUGCUGACUUUAGGUCAGCCGCAGUGAAUAGGCCCAAGCAACUGUUUAUCAAAAACACAGCUCUCUGCUAAAUCGUAAGAUGAUGUAUAGGGGGUGACGCCUGCCCGGUGCUGGAAGGUUAAGAGGAGUGCUUAGCGUAAGCGAAGGUAUGAAUUGAAGCCCCAGUAAACGGCGGCCGUAACUAUAACGGUCCUAAGGUAGCGAAAUUCCUUGUCGGGUAAGUUCCGACCCGCACGAAAGGCGUAAUGAUUUGGGCACUGUCUCAACGAGAGACUCGGUGAAAUUUUAGUACCUGUGAAGAUGCAGGUUACCCGCGACAGGACGGAAAGACCCCAUGGAGCUUUACUGCAGUUUGAUAUUGAGUGUCUGUACCACAUGUACAGGAUAGGUAGGAGUCUAAGAGAUCGGGACGCCAGUUUCGAAGGAGACGCUGUUGGGAUACUACCCUUGUGUUAUGGCCACUCUAACCCAGAUAGGUGAUCCCUAUCGGAGACAGUGUCUGACGGGCAGUUUGACUGGGGCGGUCGCCUCCUAAAAGGUAACGGAGGCGCCCAAAGGUUCCCUCAGAAUGGUUGGAAAUCAUUCGCAGAGUGUAAAGGUAUAAGGGAGCUUGACUGCGAGAGCUACAACUCGAGCAGGGACGAAAGUCGGGCUUAGUGAUCCGGUGGUUCCGUAUGGAAGGGCCAUCGCUCAACGGAUAAAAGCUACCCUGGGGAUAACAGGCUUAUCUCCCCCAAGAGUUCACAUCGACGGGGAGGUUUGGCACCUCGAUGUCGGCUCGUCGCAUCCUGGGGCUGUAGUCGGUCCCAAGGGUUGGGCUGUUCGCCCAUUAAAGCGGCACGCGAGCUGGGUUCAGAACGUCGUGAGACAGUUCGGUCCCUAUCCGUCGCGGGCGUAGGAAAUUUGAGAGGAUCUGCUCCUAGUACGAGAGGACCAGAGUGGACUUACCGCUGGUGUACCAGUUGUCUUGCCAAAGGCAUCGCUGGGUAGCUAUGUAGGGAAGGGAUAAACGCUGAAAGCAUCUAAGUGUGAAACCCACCUCAAGAUGAGAUUUCCCAUGAUUAUAUAUCAGUAAGAGCCCUGAGAGAUGAUCAGGUAGAUAGGUUAGAAGUGGAAGUGUGGCGACACAUGUAGCGGACUAAUACUAAUAGCUCGAGGACUUAUCCAA
RNAcentral lists this ribosomal RNA (2333 nucleotides) under Streptococcus pneumoniae. RNAcentral describes it as "bacterial LSU rRNA". It matches the Rfam family "Bacterial large subunit ribosomal RNA", at positions 579 to 2925 of the family's 2925-position model. The record is from RNAcentral. Lineage: Bacteria; Bacillati; Bacillota; Bacilli; Lactobacillales; Streptococcaceae.